Molecule: ribosomal RNA, 516 nt
Filed under: uncultured bacterium
Lineage: Bacteria
Description: bacterial SSU rRNA
Rfam family: Bacterial small subunit ribosomal RNA
Source: RNAcentral
AACGAACGUUAGCGGCGCGCUUAACACAUGCAAGUCGUGCGAGAAAGGGGCAACCCCGGUAAAGCGGCGCACGGGUGAGUAACACGUAGGUAAUCUGCCCCCGAGUGGUGGAUAACCUUCCGAAAGGAGGGCUAAUACAGCAUGAGACCACGGGCUCGCAAGAGCUUGAGGUCAAAGUCGGCCUCUCUACAGAAGCUGGCGCUUGGGGAUGAGCCUGCGGCCCAUCAGCUAGUUGGUAGGGUAAUGGCCUACCAAGGCGAAGACGGGUAGCUGGUCUGAGAGGAUGAUCAGCCACACUGGAACUGAGACACGGUCCAGACUCCUACGGGAGGCAGCAGUGGGGAAUCUUGCGCAAUGGGCGAAAGCCUGACGCAGCGACGCCGCGUGAGUGAUGAAGGCCUUCGGGUUGUAAAGCUCUGUGGAGAGGGACGAAUAAGUCGGAGCGAACAGCUCCGAUGAUGACGGUACCUCUUUAGCAAGCACCGGCUAACUCUGUGCCAGCAGCCGCCGUAAAAC